CUUAUCAAGAGUGGUGGAGGAAACAGGUCCUGUGAAGCCCGGCAACCUGAAUUUCAAGGUGCUAAUUCCUGCGGUAUUUCCGAAAGAUGAGG
RNAcentral lists this non-coding RNA (92 nucleotides) under uncultured Ruminococcus sp. Its description in RNAcentral is "SAM riboswitch (S box leader)". It matches the Rfam family "SAM riboswitch aptamer (S box leader)". Rfam says of the family: The SAM riboswitch is found upstream of a number of genes which code for proteins involved in methionine or cysteine biosynthesis in Gram-positive bacteria. The SAM riboswitch acts at the level of transcription termination control. The predicted structure consists of a complex stem-loop region followed by a single stem loop terminator region. The record is from RNAcentral. Lineage: Bacteria; Bacillati; Bacillota; Clostridia; Eubacteriales; Oscillospiraceae.